Molecule: transfer RNA, 72 nt
Filed under: Dictyocaulus viviparus (bovine lungworm)
Lineage: Eukaryota; Metazoa; Nematoda; Chromadorea; Rhabditida; Metastrongylidae
Rfam family: tRNA
About the family: Transfer RNA (tRNA) molecules are approximately 80 nucleotides in length. Their secondary structure includes four short double-helical elements and three loops (D, anti-codon, and T loops). Further hydrogen bonds mediate the characteristic L-shaped molecular structure. tRNAs have two regions of fundamental functional importance: the anti-codon, which is responsible for specific mRNA codon recognition, and the 3' end, to which the tRNAs corresponding amino acid is attached (by aminoacyl-tRNA synthetases). tRNAs cope with the degeneracy of the genetic code in two manners: having more than one tRNA (with a specific anti-codon) for a particular amino acid; and 'wobble' base-pairing, i.e. permitting non-standard base-pairing at the 3rd anti-codon position.
Source: Rfam by way of RNAcentral
GCUUCGGUGGUGUAAUGGUCAGUAUGGCAGACCGGAUAUCCGUAAGUGUUGGUUCGAGUCCCGCCUGAGGUU